GUCUUUUUGAGUUAUAUAUAAAGUCUAACCUGCCCAUUGAAAUUAAUUUUAAAGGGCUGCGGUAUAUUGACCGUACAAAGGUAGCAUAAUCAUUAGUUUUUUAAUUGGAAACUUGUAUGAAUGGUUGAAUGAGAAAUUAACUUUUUUUUUAAAAAUAUUGAAUUUUACUUUUUAGUUAAAAGGCUAAAAUAAAUUUAAAAGACGAGAAGACCCUAUAGAGUUUAAUAAUAUAUUUAUAUUGUUGUAAAGGAUUUUUAAUAUUAUUAUAAAUAAAUUUAUUUUGUUGGGGUGAUAAUAAAAUUUAAUUAACUUUUAUUAAUUAUGAAUAUUGAUAUAUAAUUUUUAUUAUUGAUCCAAUUAUAUUGAUUAAAAAUUUAAAUUACCUUAGGGAUAACAGCGUAAUUUUUUUUUAAGUUCAUAUUAAUAAAAAACUUUGCGACCUCGAUGUUGGAUUAAAAUAAAAUUUUAGGUGCAGCAGCUUAAAUUUAAAGUCUGUUCGACUUUUAAAUUCUU
Molecule: ribosomal RNA, 513 nt
Filed under: Bradysia alpicola
Lineage: Eukaryota; Metazoa; Arthropoda; Insecta; Diptera; Sciaridae
Description: partial 16S ribosomal RNA
Source: RNAcentral